RNAcentral lists this long non-coding RNA (616 nucleotides) under Homo sapiens (human). RNAcentral's name for it is "HSALNT0393244". The record is from RNAcentral. Lineage: Eukaryota; Metazoa; Chordata; Mammalia; Primates; Hominidae.
UCUUGAGCCCGUAUAACUGUUUGGCUGGCCACACACCACUUUUAUUGGCCAUAAGGAAAAGAAGUGAGCAAAUUGUGGAAUUUUUACUGACAAAAAAUGCAAAUGCAAUUGCAGUUGAUAAGUUUAAAUGCAUUCAUCAACAACUUUUGGAAUAUAAACAAAAGAUAUCUAAAAAUUCUCAAAAUAGUAAUCCAGAAGGAACAUCUGAAGGAACACUUGAUGAGGCUGCACCCUUGGCAGAAAGAACACCUGACACGGCUGAAAGCUUGGUGGAAAGAACACCUGAUGAAUAGGAUACAGUGAAUUCCUCUUCAAAGAUUUUAGCCUGUAAAUAUCCUUUAAAAUUCAAGAGGGGGAAGAUUAAGUACAAUGAGUUCUGAGUUCCUCAUCAAAGAACAAAUAUGUCAGUAUGUUCAGCUUCUCUGUUCUUUGUUCUCCGUUUUAAAGUUUAACUUCCUCGUUCGUUAUGCCUCCUUGCCCCUAGUUUCAUUAAACAACCCCCUUCUAGCCUCUAACACCUGCUUUGUCUUUAGUCAUUCUUAGUAACCUGCUCUGUCCUUAGUCAUCCUUAGACACCUGCUCUGUAACUGUCUUUCCCACUGAAACUACUCACCCU